RNAcentral lists this ribosomal RNA (318 nucleotides) under uncultured Pseudomonadota bacterium. Its description in RNAcentral is "bacterial SSU rRNA". It matches the Rfam family "Bacterial small subunit ribosomal RNA", at positions 30 to 351 of the family's 1533-position model. Lineage: Bacteria; Pseudomonadati; Pseudomonadota. The record is from RNAcentral.
AUUGAACGCUGGCGGCAUGCCUAACACAUGCAAGUCGCACGCGAAAGGGGGCAACCCCGAGUAGAGUGGCGGACGGGUGCGUAACGCGUAGGAAUAUACCUGGUAGUGGGGGACAACCCGGCGAAAGCCGGGCUAAUACCGCAUACGAUCUACGGAUGAAAGCAGGGGACCGCAAGGCCUUGCGCUAUCAGAUUAGCCUGCGUCGGAUUAGCUAGUUGGUGAGGUAAAGGCUCACCAAGGCAACGAUCCGUAGCUGGUUUGAGAGAACGACCAGCCACACUGGGACUGAGACACGGCCCAGACUCCUACGGGUGGCUG